Molecule: ribosomal RNA, 309 nt
Filed under: uncultured bacterium
Lineage: Bacteria
Description: partial 16S ribosomal RNA
Rfam family: Bacterial small subunit ribosomal RNA
Source: RNAcentral
AGAGACAGCAGUAGCCGCGGUAAUACGGAGGGUGCAAGCGUUAAUCGGAAUUACUGGGCGUAAAGCGCACGCAGGCGGUUUGUUAAGUCAGAUGUGAAAUCCCCGAGCUUAACUUGGGAACUGCAUUUGAAACUGGCAAGCUAGAGUCUUGUAGAGGGGGGUAGAAUUCCAGGUGUAGCGGUGAAAUGCGUAGAGAUCUGGAGGAAUACCGGUGGCGAAGGCGGCCCCCUGGACAAAGACUGACGCUCAGGUGCGAAAGCGUGGGGAGCAAACAGGAUUAGAUACCCGGGUAGUCCCUGUCUCUUAUAC